This is a long non-coding RNA of Siniperca chuatsi (mandarin fish), 1200 nucleotides long. RefSeq lists it as uncharacterized. The record is from RefSeq and is a predicted model, not a curated record. Lineage: Eukaryota; Metazoa; Chordata; Actinopteri; Centrarchiformes; Sinipercidae. The transcript has 4 exons.
GUCAAUAAGGAAAGGAUACCCCGGAAAACCAACCCAGAAGUAAGAUUUGGGGCGUUUUACGUCGAACAGACAACUAUCAGAAAAAUCAAACAUCUACAGUAGAUUAUAAUCUGGAGGACCAUCUGGGGGAGGAGGAGAAGGUUCUCGCUCAGACUGUUGCUGCCGGAGGGCUUCGAGCGCCACCGUGUGGCCAAAUGGCCAAACUGCAACACUUUGUCCAAAACUGUGUCCGGGACAACUGUUCAACUGUCUCCUGAUGUUCUUCUUCCUCAUCGUCCUCAGUUUGACUGGACUCAAGUAAACAGAUUCAGUUAUUGUUCAUUUAUGUAGGUGUUAAUAAAAAGGUUGGGGGACCUGCAGACCACAAAAAGCAAAUAUUUGAAAUUAAGUUAUGGAGUAGGCUGAUUGAUUAAUUUAAUUUGAAAAGAUCCACAUCCUCGAAAACCUUUCAUCACCUUGAUACCACUUACAAAGUCUGCAACUAACAAUUAGUUUCAUUAUUAGUUAAUCUGACAUUAAUUCAGUUGAUUAAUCAGUUAAUUGUUUGGUCUAUAAAAUAACAAAACAUGCCUGUUACAAUUCCCCACAGAGUGAUUUGACAUAUUCUAAUUUCGUUUUUGUCCGACCAACAGAGAAGCAGCAGCAAAUCUUAAUAUUUGAGAAGCUGGAACCAGAGAUUGCCAUUUUUGCUUGAAAAAUGACUCGAUUAUCGAGAAUUUUUUUUGUCAAAUGAUAAGUCAAUUGAUUGACUAAUUGUUUGUGCUUUACUGCUUAUUACUAUGUAGUGUAUUUUAUGAUUUUACACCACAAAUCCAGAGGCGGCAAACAAACUUUAUUCCCCAUAUAAUAAACUGAAUUUACCUUGUGUUAUAUCCCUAAAUAUGUGAAUGAAUGAAUGCAUCUAAUCUGUUUCUUCUUCUCUUCUCGACAGUGUAAUAAUUUUUGAACAACUUUUAAUGCAUAAUUGUCCUCCAAAUGCUUCUACCUGGGAUUACAUAUUUGACCAAACAUGGCUGUUUGGGCAUUUUCAGAUCAGGCGGAAGGGAAUCGUGCUAUUAGAAAAGUUGCUGCUGUCGUUCUCGUCGGUGUAUUCGCGCCGAGGAGAGAAGAAGUGCAAACAAUCUCAGCUCUCGUCCAGCAGGUUUAAUUAAACACAACGUGACUGUAAACACAAAAGGAUUGCUCUGCAAUGAAAAACAG